GUGGGAGGGGGCUUGCUUCCGAUGGCAGUCUGUCAGCGACUUAUUAGUGGACUGACCCACGGCUAUCGGGAGCAAGCCCCCUCCCAU
This 87-nucleotide unclassified non-coding RNA is filed under the name Pseudomonas fluorescens. Lineage: Bacteria; Pseudomonadati; Pseudomonadota; Gammaproteobacteria; Pseudomonadales; Pseudomonadaceae. The record is from RNAcentral.